UCCCGACAAAGCCGAUCCCUUUCAGAAGAGGGGAGCGGAAAGCGGCGGGUCUUGAAAAGACGGCCGAGCUGCCGAA
Nitrospirae bacterium GWD2_57_9 is the source of this 76-nucleotide non-coding RNA. NCBI's taxonomy places the organism in Bacteria, Pseudomonadati, Nitrospirota. The record is from Rfam.